AAGUCGUAACAAGGUUUCCGUAGGUGAACCUGCGGAAGGAUCAUUAAUGCUACUUUCCGCUUGAGGAAUUGGUUGGUCCGGUGAUUUUAUUUGCCUGCUUCCCAUUCCACAAGCGUGAACUUGUAUCUCUUAUCUUAAACGCUUAAGGAAAUUUUUAAUUUCCCUAACGUACCAAGUAACUUGAGAAGCCUUUGCUGUUUUUUCGGAGAUGGCAAAGUGUUUUUCUCACUUUUUUUUUACUACCAUAAUUACCCUAUUAACUUAUAAACUAUUAGACUGAUAUAAAAUAACAUUUAUUUUAUAAAUGUAAUACAACUCUUAGCAAUGGAUAUCUAGGCUCUU
Molecule: unclassified non-coding RNA, 342 nt
Filed under: fungal sp.
Lineage: Eukaryota; Fungi
Also listed under: 1 other name
Description: partial internal transcribed spacer region
Rfam family: Eukaryotic small subunit ribosomal RNA (bases 1-46)
Source: RNAcentral